This 416-nucleotide ribosomal RNA is filed under the name uncultured bacterium. RNAcentral's name for it is "bacterial SSU rRNA". It matches the Rfam family "Bacterial small subunit ribosomal RNA", at positions 355 to 786 of the family's 1533-position model. The record is from RNAcentral.
UCGGGAAUAUUGCGCAAUGGAGGAAACUCUGACGCAGUGACGCCGCGUAUAGGAAGAAGGUUUUCGGAUUGUAAACUAUUGUCGUUAGGGAAGAAAAAAUGACAGUACCUAAGGAGGAAGCUCCGGCUAACUACGUGCCAGCAGCCGCGGUAAUACGUAGGGAGCAAGCGUUAUCCGGAUUUAUUGGGUGUAAAGGGUGCGUAGACGGGCGAUCAAGUUAGUUGUGAAAUCCCUCGGCUCAACUGAGGAACUGCAACUAAAACUGGUUGUCUUGAGUGCAGGAGAGGUAAGUGGAAUUCCUAGUGUAGCGGUGAAAUGCGUAGAUAUUAGGAGGAACACCAGUGGCGAAGGCGACUUACUGGACUGUAACUGACGUUGAGGCACGAAAGUGUGGGGAGCAAGCAGGAUUAGAUACC